This 641-nucleotide ribosomal RNA is filed under the name Nostoc sp. FB26. RNAcentral describes it as "bacterial SSU rRNA". It matches the Rfam family "Bacterial small subunit ribosomal RNA", at positions 115 to 788 of the family's 1533-position model. The record is from RNAcentral. Lineage: Bacteria; Bacillati; Cyanobacteriota; Cyanophyceae; Nostocales; Nostocaceae.
ACGCGUAGAAUCUGGCUNUAGGUCUGGGACAACCACUGGAAACGGUGGCUAAUACCGGAUGUGCCGAAAGGUGAAAGGUUAACUGCCUGGAGAUGAGCUCGCGUCUGAUUAGCUAGUAGGUGUGGUAAGAGCGCACCUAGGCGACGAUCAGUAGCUGGUCUGAGAGGACGAUCAGCCACACUGGGACUGAGACACGGCCCAGACUCCUACGGGAGGCAGCAGUGGGGAAUUUUCCGCAAUGGGCGAAAGCCUGACGGAGCAAUACCGCGUGAGGGAGGAAGGCUCUUGGGUCGUAAACCUCUUUUCUCAGGGAAGAACAAAAUGACGGUACCUGAGGAAUAAGCAUCGGCUAACUCCGUGCCAGCAGCCGCGGUAAUACGGAGGAUGCAAGCGUUAUCCGGAAUGAUUGGGCGUAAAGCGUCCGCAGGUGGCUGUGUAAGUCUGCUGUUAAAGAGUCUAGCUCAACUAGAUACAAGCAGUGGAAACUACACGGCUAGAGUACGUUCGGGGCAGAGGGAAUUCCUGGUGUAGCGGUGAAAUGCGUAGAGAUCAGGAAGAACACCAGUGGCGAAGGCGCUCUGCUAGGCCGUAACUGACACUGAGGGACGAAAGCUAGGGGAGCGAAAGGGAUUAGAUACCCC